CGGUUGUUCAAUGUCUGGUUAUCAGUACUUGCCGGUUAAACAUCAUUAUCGACGUUUCCGACAUCAUGCACAUAACAUGUGGUUGAUAAAGCAGUAUUUGUAUUUAACCAGAGCUUCUACCUCCGAUUUGUGCUAAUCAGACUUUGUACAACCGGGCCUAAGGGCCGGUUACUCA
Molecule: long non-coding RNA, 175 nt
Organism: Rhagoletis pomonella (apple maggot)
Lineage: Eukaryota; Metazoa; Arthropoda; Insecta; Diptera; Tephritidae
Exons: 3
Source: RefSeq, a predicted model, not a curated record